AUUGAACGCUGGCGGCAGGCUUAACACAUGCAAGUCGAGCGGUAGCACAAGAGAGCUUGCUCUCUGGGUGACGAGCGGCGGACGGGUGAGUAAUGUCUGGGAAACUGCCUGAUGGAGGGGGAUAACUACUGGAAACGGUAGCUAAUACCGCAUAACGUCGCAAGACCAAAGAGGGGGACCUUCGGGCCUCUUGCCAUCAGAUGUGCCCAGAUGGGAUUAGCUAGUAGGUGGGGUAAUGGCUCACCUAGGCGACGAUCCCUAGCUGGUCUGAGAGGAUGACCAGCCACACUGGAACUGAGACACGGUCCAGACUCCUACGGGAGGCAGCAGUGGGGAAUAUUGCACAAUGGGCGCAAGCCUGAUGCAGCCAUGCCGCGUGUGUGAAGAAGGCCUUCGGGUUGUAAAGCACUUUCAGCGAGGAGGAAGGUGGUGAACUUAAUACGUUCAUCAAUUGACGUUACUCGCAGAAGAAGCACCGGCUAACUCCGUGCCAGCAGCCGCGGUAAUACGGAAGGUGCAAGCGUUAAUCGGAAUUACUGGGCGUAAAGCGCACGCAGGCGGUUUGUUAGUCAGAUGUGAAAUCCCCGGGCUCAACCUGGGAACUGCAUUUGAAACUGGCAAGCUAGAGUCUCGUAGAGGGGGGUAGAAUUCCAGGUGUAGCGGUGAAAUGCGUAGAGAUCUGGAGGAAUACCGGUGGCGAAGGCGGCCCCCUGGACGAAGACUGACGCUCAGGUGCGAAAGCGUGGGGAGCAAACAGGAUUAGAUACCCUGGUAGUCCACGCUGUAAACGAUGUCGAUUUGGAGGUUGUGCCCUUGAGGCGUGGCUUCCGGAGCUAACGCGUUAAAUCGACCGCCUGGGGAGUACGGCCGCAAGGUUAAAACUCAAAUGAAUUGACGGGGGCCCGCACAAGCGGUGGAGCAUGUGGCUUAAUUCGAUGCAACGCGAAGAACCUUACCUACUCUUGACAUCCAGAGAACUUUCCAGAGAUGGAUUGGUGCCUUCGGGAACUCUGAGACAGGUGCUGCAUGGCUGUCGUCAGCUCGUGUUGUGAAAUGUUGGGUUAAGUCCCGCAACGAGCGCAACCCUUAUCCCUUGUUGCCAGCGGUUCGGCCGGGAACUCAAAGGAGACUGCCAGUGAUAAACUGGAGGAAGGUGGGGAUGACGUCAAGUCAUCAUGGCCCUUACGAGUAGGGCUACACACGUGCUACAAUGGCAUAUACAAAGAGAAGCGACCUCGCGAGAGCAAGCGGACCUCAUAAAGUAUGUCGUAGUCCGGAUUGGAGUCUGCAACUCGACUCCAUGAAGUCGGAAUCGCUAGUAAUCGUAGAUCAGAAUGCUACGGUGAAUACGUUCCCGGGCGU
RNAcentral lists this ribosomal RNA (1362 nucleotides) under uncultured bacterium. Its description in RNAcentral is "bacterial SSU rRNA". It matches the Rfam family "Bacterial small subunit ribosomal RNA", at positions 28 to 1381 of the family's 1533-position model. The record is from RNAcentral.